GUCGUCUCCUACCAUCAGCCAUAUCAACUGUCCAGUCCAAACUGACUACAUCUACUCCUGUCAAGGGUAGUCUCUCAAGCAAGCCACCUGAUCCACUUGCAUAAAGAAUCAGAGGGAGAUCAGGAUGGGUUAGUUUCACUGCCUCAACUAUCUGUUUUAAGUAUGGUAGACUGAACUCCUCAAAAUCGACUGGGCUUAGCUCUGUGGCCCAUGAAUCAAAGAUCUGAACUGCUUGAGCUCCAUGGUCAGCUUGAUAACGGAUAUAUUUAGCCAUUGAGGUUGCAAAUAUUUGAAGCAGCGAAUGAAGGACCUUGGGCUCCGCAAAAGCUAAUCUCUUAAUUUUUGUAAAGUUCUUAGAGGAACCACCUUCAACCACAUAUGAAGCCAACGUAAAUGGUGCCCCAACGAAACCCAGAACUGCUGCUUGAUUAUUUACCUCUUUCCGCAAAAUUGUUAAUGCUUCUCCAACAUAUGGAACUGAUUCUUCAGGAAUAAAUUCUCUAACUUUCUCAACAUCAGAAAGUGUGGUCGGUGGAUCAAAUAUGACAGGACCCUUCCCCUUUAUAAUGUCAAAAGGGAUGUUCAUACCAGAGAGAGGAGUAAGAAUAUCUGAAAACAAAAUGACCCCAUCAGGCUGGAAU
This 641-nucleotide unclassified non-coding RNA is filed under the name Hevea brasiliensis (rubber tree). Lineage: Eukaryota; Viridiplantae; Streptophyta; Magnoliopsida; Malpighiales; Euphorbiaceae. The record is from RNAcentral.